UACGGGGGGGGCAAGCGUUGUUCGGAAUUACUGGGCGUAAAGGGCUUGUAGGUGGCCAACUAAGUCAGACGUGAAAUCCCUCAGCUUAACUGGGGAACUGCGUCUGAUACUGGAUGGCUUGAGUUUGGGAGAGGGAUGCGGAAUUCCAGGUGUAGCGGUGAAAUGCGUAGAUAUCGAAAGGAACACCUGUGGCGAAAGCGGCUCACUGGACCAUUACUGACGCUGAUGCACGAAAGCUAGGGGAGCAAACAGG
Molecule: ribosomal RNA, 253 nt
Filed under: uncultured bacterium
Lineage: Bacteria
Description: partial 16S ribosomal RNA
Rfam family: Bacterial small subunit ribosomal RNA
Source: RNAcentral